ACGCUGGCGGCGCGCCUAACACAUGCAAGUCGAACGAGCAAAGAGGAGCUUGCUUCUCUGAGCGAGUGGCGAACGGGUGAGUAACGCGUGAGGAACCUGCCUCAAAGGAGGGGGACAACAGUUGGAAACGACUGCUAAUACCGCAUAAGCCCACGGGUCGGCAUCGACCAGAGGGAAAAGGAGCAAUCCGCUUUGAGAUGGCCUCGCGCCCGAUUAGCUAGUUGGUGAGGUAACGGCCCACCAAGGCGACGAUCGGUAGCCGGACUGAGAGGUUGAACGGCCACAUUGGGACUGAGACACGGCCCAGACUCCUACGGGAGGCAGCAGUGGGGAAUAUUGCACAAUGGGGGAAACCCUGAUGCAGCGACGCCGCGUGGAGGAAGAAGGUCUUCGGAUUGUAAACUCCUGUUGUUGAGGAAGAUAAUGACGGUACUCAACAAGGAAGUGACGGCUAACUACGUG
This 462-nucleotide ribosomal RNA is filed under the name uncultured bacterium. RNAcentral describes it as "bacterial SSU rRNA". It matches the Rfam family "Bacterial small subunit ribosomal RNA", at positions 33 to 507 of the family's 1533-position model. The record is from RNAcentral.